Molecule: ribosomal RNA, 1444 nt
Filed under: uncultured organism
Description: SSU rRNA
Rfam family: Bacterial small subunit ribosomal RNA
Source: RNAcentral
UGGCUCAGGAUGAACGCUAGCUACAGGCUUAACACAUGCAAGUCGAGGGGCAUCAGGAAGAAAGCUUGCUUUCUUUGCUGGCGACCGGCGCACGGGUGAGUAACACGUAUCCAACCUGCCCUUUACUCGGGGAUAGCCUUUCGAAAGAAAGAUUAAUACCCGAUAGCAUAAUGAUUCCGCAUGGUUUCAUUAUUAAAGGAUUCCGGUAAAGGAUGGGGAUGCGUUCCAUUAGGUUGUUGGUGAGGUAACGGCCCACCAAGCCUUCGAUGGAUAGGGGUUCUGAGAGGAAGGUCCCCCACAUUGGAACUGAGACACGGUCCAAACUCCUACGGGAGGCAGCAGUGAGGAAUAUUGGUCAAUGGGCGCUAGCCUGAACCAGCCAAGUAGCGUGAAGGAUGAAGGCUCUAUGGGUCGUAAACUUCUUUUAUAUAAGAAUAAAGUGCAGUAUGUAUACUGUUUUGUAUGUAUUAUAUGAAUAAGGAUCGGCUAACUCCGUGCCAGCAGCCGCGGUAAUACGGAGGAUCCGAGCGUUAUCCGGAGUUAUUGGGUUUAAAGGGAGCGUAGGUGGACUGGUAAGUCAGUUGUGAAAGUUUGCGGCUCAACCGUAAAAUUGCAGUUGAUACUGUCAGUCUUGAGUACAGUAGAGGUGGGCGGAAUUCGUGGUGUAGCGGUGAAAUGCUUAGAUAUCACGAAGAACUCCGAUUGCGAAGGCAGCUCACUGGACUGCAACUGACACUGAUGCUCGAAAGUGUGGGUAUCAAACAGGAUUAGAUACCCUGGUAGUCCACACAGUAAACGAUGAAUACUCGCUGUUUGCGAUAUACAGUAAGCGGCCAAGCGAAAGCAUUAAGUAUUCCACCUGGGGAGUACGCCGGCAACGGUGAAACUCAAAGGAAUUGACGGGGGCCCGCACAAGCGGAGGAACAUGUGGUUUAAUUCGAUGAUACGCGAGGAACCUUACCCGGGCUUAAAUUGCAGUGGAAUGAUGUGGAAACAUGUCAGUGAGCAAUCACCGCUGUGAAGGUGCUGCAUGGUUGUCGUCAGCUCGUGCCGUGAGGUGUCGGCUUAAGUGCCAUAACGAGCGCAACCCUUAUCUUUAGUUACUAACAGGUUAUGCUGAGGACUCUAGAGAGACUGCCGUCGUAAGAUGUGAGGAAGGUGGGGAUGACGUCAAAUCAGCACGGCCCUUACGUCCGGGGCUACACACGUGUUACAAUGGGGGGUACAGAAGGCAGCUAGCGGGUGACCGUAUGCUAAUCCCAAAAUCCUCUCUCAGUUCGGAUCGAAGUCUGCAACCCGACUUCGUGAAGCUGGAUUCGCUAGUAAUCGCGCAUCAGCCACGGCGCGGUGAAUACGUUCCCGGGCCUUGUACACACCGCCCGUCAAGCCAUGAGAGCCGGGGGUACCUGAAGUACGUAACCGCAAGGAUCGUCCUAGGGUAAAA